RNAcentral lists this ribosomal RNA (274 nucleotides) under uncultured bacterium. Its description in RNAcentral is "partial 16S ribosomal RNA". It matches the Rfam family "Bacterial small subunit ribosomal RNA", at positions 523 to 796 of the family's 1533-position model. The record is from RNAcentral.
AUACAGAGGGUGCGAGCGUUAAUCGGAAUUACUGGGCGUAAAGCGCGCGUAGGCGGCUUAUUAAGUCAGAUGUGAAAUCCCCGGGCUCAACCUGGGAACUGCAUCUGAUACUGGUAAGCUAGAGUUUGGGAGAGGGAAGUAGAAUUUCAGGUGUAGCGGUGAAAUGCAUAGAGAUCCGAAGGAAUACCAGUGGCGAAGGCGACUUCCUGGCCUAAAACUGACGCUGAGGUGCGAAAGCGUGGGUAGCAAACGGAAUUAGAAACCCCGGUAGUCC